GGGUCAGUGGGUUGGUCGUGCCACCGGUACGUACUGGUCUCACUGGUUCCUCCUUCCUGAAGAACCGUAAUGCCAUUAAUUUGGUGUUGCGGGGAAACAGGACUGUUACUUUGAAAAAAUUAGAGUGUUUAAAGCAAGCUAACGCUUGAAUACAUUAGCAUGGAAUAAUGAAAUAGGACGAUCGAUCCUAUUUUGUUGGUUUCUAGGAUUGACGUA
Molecule: ribosomal RNA, 216 nt
Filed under: Glomeromycotina sp.
Lineage: Eukaryota; Fungi; Glomeromycota
Description: partial small subunit ribosomal RNA
Rfam family: Eukaryotic small subunit ribosomal RNA (bases 47-216)
Source: RNAcentral